CCGUGCUAAGCGGGGAGGUAGCGGUGCCCUGUACUCGCAAUCCGCUAUAGCGAGGCUGAAUUCCCAUCUUAGGUGAGGCGAUUUUAUGGUCUGCCUUAAGGAAUUGGUGUUGACGCUCAGGUCCUGCGCAAUGGGGACCCAUGAAUCCUGUCAGGUCCGGAAGGAAGCAGCAGUAAGUGGUCAUCUCUGUGUGCCGCGGGAUAGCCUAGGCCGAGCCAUGAACUUAAGUAACGCAUAGGAUCGUCACAUCGACGAUGGGUGCACGG
Molecule: signal recognition particle RNA, 266 nt
Filed under: Oceanobacillus arenosus
Lineage: Bacteria; Bacillati; Bacillota; Bacilli; Caryophanales; Bacillaceae
Description: signal recognition particle sRNA large type
Rfam family: Bacterial large signal recognition particle RNA
About the family: The signal recognition particle (SRP) is a universally conserved ribonucleoprotein involved in the co-translational targeting of proteins to membranes. Archaeal SRP consists of a 7S RNA and homologues of the eukaryotic SRP19 and SRP54 proteins.
Source: RNAcentral